CCUACGGUGAGCAGCAGUAGGGAAUAUUGCUCAAUGGGGGAAACCCUGAAGCAGCAACGCCGCGUGGAGGAUGCAGGUUUUCGGAUUGUAAACUCCUUUUGUUAGAGAAGAUAUGACGGUAUCUAACGAAUAAGCACCGGCUUACUCCGUGCCAGCAGCCGGGGGAAUACGGAGGUGGCAAGCGUUACUCGGACUCACUGGGCGUAAAGAGGGGGUAGGCGGGAUAGCAAGUCAGAUGUGAAAUCCUAUGGCUUAACCAUAGAACUGCAUUUGAAACUGUGAUUCUAGAGUAUGGGAGAGGUAGGUGGAAUGCUUGGUGUAGGGGUAAAAUCCGUAGAGAUCAAGAGGAAUACUCAUUGCGAAGGCGACCUGCUAGAACAUAACUGACGCUGAUGCGCGAAAGCGUGGGGAGCAAACAGGAUUAGAUACCCCUGUAGUC
Molecule: ribosomal RNA, 439 nt
Filed under: uncultured bacterium
Lineage: Bacteria
Description: partial 16S ribosomal RNA
Rfam family: Bacterial small subunit ribosomal RNA
Source: RNAcentral